GGGGACAUAGCUCAGUGGUAGAGCAUGUGCUUAGAAUGCUUGGGGCCCUAGGUUCAAUUCCUAGCACCA
This 69-nucleotide transfer RNA is filed under the name Fukomys damarensis (Damara mole-rat). It matches the Rfam family "tRNA". From Rfam's summary of the family: Transfer RNA (tRNA) molecules are approximately 80 nucleotides in length. Their secondary structure includes four short double-helical elements and three loops (D, anti-codon, and T loops). Lineage: Eukaryota; Metazoa; Chordata; Mammalia; Rodentia; Bathyergidae. The record is from Rfam by way of RNAcentral.